AGGAGAGACAACUGUUUCCAAUAGCCAGAAAGUAGAAUCAGUCUGGGUGUCCGCCAUCUGCUGAAAGGGUAAUGACAGCAUGGUGCAUAUUCACAAUGAACUUUUACUCAGAUAUGAAGAAAAAUGAAAUUAUGGGUUUUUCAGAACUUGACCGUCGAUCGGCUUUUCAACCCUCAUAUUCAAAGAUGCACCUCAUUUGCUGCUCAAGAUGCUGGAGUGGUAGAACAGACACAUGUCCGGGUCACCCCAGGGAGUCUCAGGUGUCCAGACACUGGGAGAAUGAAGCAGAGCAGGAAAUGAGUGACCUCUGUAGGAGACCAGUCUAGCUAGGAGUGCCAGGGAGUGCCUGAAAGAAGAAACUUUCUCCGAGGAAGGCCUUCUCAGAGGACUCCAGUGAUACAUUUCUUUUAGACAAUGCUUAAUAAAACAGUUCUCUU
RNAcentral lists this long non-coding RNA (437 nucleotides) under Rattus norvegicus (Norway rat). Its description in RNAcentral is "long non-coding RNA NONRATT029250". Lineage: Eukaryota; Metazoa; Chordata; Mammalia; Rodentia; Muridae. The record is from RNAcentral.